Long non-coding RNA from Papaver somniferum (opium poppy), 509 nucleotides. RefSeq lists it as uncharacterized. NCBI's taxonomy places the organism in Eukaryota, Viridiplantae, Streptophyta, Magnoliopsida, Ranunculales, Papaveraceae. The transcript has 2 exons. The record is from RefSeq and is a predicted model, not a curated record.
GUUAAGUUUAUUUCUUUUCUUUCCCUUCCUCGAUUGAUCCAAAUUUCCUCUUCGUUUUCUUCUCCCUUACCUUUUCUUUCUCUUCUAAACAACUAAAAAUCCAUUGCUCAACUCAAUUUGCAGAAAUCAAUGACGGUGAUGAAGAGUUGCGUUAGUUGUUUUUCACUUCCUCGAUUAGACACCUGAUACUCAGGUAAAGUGGACACCGUGUUAGCUGGUAUGCUAUAUGGAGGUAGCAAGGAAGCUUCUUCAUUUGUUAGCAAGGAUGCAGAAGUGAUGUUAAAUCUAGGUAGCACGCUAUACUAGCUUGAGAAUUGUUUGUCAGAAUUGCAAUGGAGAAAACGUUUGUCAGAGUAACGCUUGGUUCGGUAGUUAGUGGAGUUCGUCUUAGCAUGUUCACCACUGCAUGUUACGGCGUACAGAUUCUGCUUUCUGUGGAGUGUUAUGUAAAUGAUGCUUAUAAUAUGUGACAGCUGCAAGUUCACCUACCACAUUAGUAUUCAGCUUAA